AUUGAACGCUGGCGGCAGGCUUAACACAUGCAAGUCGAGCGAGCGGCGGAAGGGUGAGUAAUGGCUGGGAAACUGCCUGAUGGAGGGGGAUAACUACUGACAACGGUAGCUAAUACCGCAUACCAUCAGAUGUGCCCAGAUGGGAUUAGCUAGUAGGUGGGUUAAUGGCUCACCUAGGCUACGAUCCCUAGCUGGUCUGAGUGGAUGACCAGCCACACUGGAACUGAGACACGGUCCAUACUCCUACGGGAGGCAGCAGGGGGGAAUAUUGCACAAUGGGCGCAAGCCUGAUGCAGCCAUGCCGCGGGUGGGAAGAAGGCCUUCGGGUUGUAAAGCACUUUCAGCGAGGAGGCGUUACUCGCAGAAGAAGCACCGGCUAACUCCGUGCCAGCAGCCGCGGUAAUAC
RNAcentral lists this ribosomal RNA (406 nucleotides) under uncultured bacterium. RNAcentral's name for it is "partial 16S ribosomal RNA". It matches the Rfam family "Bacterial small subunit ribosomal RNA", at positions 30 to 526 of the family's 1533-position model. The record is from RNAcentral.